Long non-coding RNA from Monomorium pharaonis (pharaoh ant), 1623 nucleotides. RefSeq lists it as uncharacterized. The transcript has 2 exons. NCBI's taxonomy places the organism in Eukaryota, Metazoa, Arthropoda, Insecta, Hymenoptera, Formicidae. The record is from RefSeq and is a predicted model, not a curated record.
CGCUUUUAUUUCUAAAUUAAUGGUAUUGGUCACCAUUCUGAUUAAGCACUAAAAGGUUCAAUGUUGAUUUCGUCAUUUCGCAAUCGCGACAAUCACAACGGUACUAUUCAGGGUUAAGCGAAGUUAAGCACGGUCAUACAACUUCCUUAUAUCUUUCUAUCAGUGCAAGAGAAAAAGGGGAUCGUUCUUUAGAUGACCAGGGUGGUCUUUGUAUCUAUACGAGUAAAUAUUAGCAGAGGAUGAUGAGAAUCUCCCCCCUCUCCUUCUUACUUUCUCCUUCCUCUUUUCACCGACGUCAAACCCGUGGACGUCUUCCUCACUCCGACGGAUCCGCUCAUUCCGUCGCGACGUCAUUCUAGAGGCUUUUACCUGUUCUCUUUAAACCGACCGAAUCUCACCGAAAAUUCACUCUGAUAUUACCUCCAUUCAAGUAUGCUCUCACGACGGCGUCUUUUCUCCUGUGUGGUAGACAAAAAUCUCGACAAAUGUUAAUAUUCGUUCCAGAAAUCGAAUUCAAUGUUAUUUUGUGACAUAAGUUCUGCAAUAAUUGCGCUGCAGAUAUUUGUGUGAUUUUAAUUGUAAUUCAUGCUGAUAACAAUCUAUUAGCAUAGCUAAAAAGGUAAAUAUAAGCAAAUUUCUAAUUAAAUUCUAGUUUCUACUAGAAUAUUUCAACUUUAGUGUUAACAUAGUUAAAUUUUUUUUUCUAAAAGAUUUGGAAUGUUAAAAUUGUUUUUUCUAUUCGCUAAUAUCCCGAGACAUUAAUAGCAUUAAGGUUGUCUGUGCCACUUGUGCCGUUUUACUAAGGUGCAUGAAACGUACCUAGCCUGUCCCCACGGGGCACACCUGUCUCGCGAGAAGCGUUCGAUGAAGAUCGUGUGCGAUUGAGUACUGUGGUCCAAAAUUAACCCCGAUGCACGAAAAGCACGGAGUAUAGCGUAGUGACGUCAGGAACGACGUAGGUUCCAUGAAGCGGUUCCUCGUUUUAGGUAGGUCGAAUAGAAGCACACCCGCGCCUUAAUGCGAGGUGCCCUAACACGUUAUUAUUCGUGCAGUCAUUGCCAUCCAAGGACGUCUCGAUUUGGCCGUAAUAAACGUUCCAAUUUUGUGAAGAGAGAUUAUUUUUUUAUAUGUCGAUUGUACAUCACGUCAAGCUUUGACAGUCAAAGGAAAGGACACACUAACAGAAGCUUUGUGUGCAGUGACUGUUAUCAAGUACGGUUGUUGCGAUUGCACAGGCUAACGUGAAACGCAUUUUCCAAAGCAGUUUAUCAAAUAAAUCGAUAUACAACCAAACUAACCGAACAAAGUUUUUUUGAACUUUUUUGUGUAAAUUGUACAGUGCUAUACAUGAUAAAUUAACAAAUAAUACAAUUUAACAAUUUUAAAUAUAUGAAAUGUUCUUAUAUUUCUUAAUCUUAUUGUAUGUUUUUGUAUUUAAUAUUUGUCUGCGAUUUUACCUUCUAUUUUUAGAUGAUUUUAAGUUUUCUAAUUUAUAUUACUUAUUAAAAAGUUAUAAACAUUUAAAGAUUUCUUUAUCAGUUAUUAUAAUAAUUAUAAUAAAUACUUAAAAAAAAGAUCGACAGCCAUUAAUCUGACAAAUGAAAAUCUUGCAGAAGAAAAAAA